GUGCUUGCUUCGGCUGCACAUGUACUGACAUGGAACGGUGCAGAGAAGAUGAGCCUGGCCCGGGCAAGGACGACGUGCAAAUCCGAGAAGCGUUCCAUGUUUUA
Molecule: small nuclear RNA, 104 nt
Organism: Pipistrellus kuhlii (Kuhl's pipistrelle)
Lineage: Eukaryota; Metazoa; Chordata; Mammalia; Chiroptera; Vespertilionidae
Source: RefSeq, a predicted model, not a curated record